AACGGCCGCAGUACCCUAACUGCGCGAAGGUAGCAUAAUCACUUGUUCUUUAAAUGAGGACUAGUAUCAACGGCAUCACGAGGGUUCUACUGUCUCCUUUCUCUAAUCUGUGAAACUAAUCUUCCCGUGAAGAAGCGGGAAUAAACUUAUAAGACGAGAAGACCCCAUGGAGCUUUAAACUUAACUGCACCUUCCCCCUCUUUAUUCCCUUUCACCAGCGGAGACUGCAUAUUAAGUUUUAGGUUGGGGUGACCACGGAGUACAACAAAACCUCCAUGAUAAAUUAAAUUAAACCUUUAAUCUGAGAAUAACACUUCUAAGAAUUAGAACACUAAUAUAAAAUGAUCCGAUAAUCGAUCAACGGACCUAGUUACCCUGGGGAUAACAGCGCAAUCCAUUUCAAGAGCCCCUAUCGACAAAUGGGUUUACGACCUCGAUGUUGGAUCAGGGUGUCCUAGUGGUGCAGCAGCUGCUGAAGGUUCGUUUGUUCAACGAUUAAAACCCU
RNAcentral lists this ribosomal RNA (505 nucleotides) under Gephyromantis corvus. Its description in RNAcentral is "partial large subunit ribosomal RNA". It matches the Rfam family "Bacterial large subunit ribosomal RNA", at positions 1926 to 2597 of the family's 2925-position model. The record is from RNAcentral. Lineage: Eukaryota; Metazoa; Chordata; Amphibia; Anura; Mantellidae.